This is a long non-coding RNA of Mercurialis annua (annual mercury), 1775 nucleotides long. RefSeq lists it as uncharacterized. NCBI's taxonomy places the organism in Eukaryota, Viridiplantae, Streptophyta, Magnoliopsida, Malpighiales, Euphorbiaceae. The record is from RefSeq and is a predicted model, not a curated record. The transcript has 2 exons.
UUUACAGAAAAGACGAAAAAGUAAUAUAUAUGGAAUUAUGAGAGUAAUUUGCUGAAAUUAAAAUAAAAUAAAAUUUACUAAAAAUAUUUAAACAAGAAAAAGAAAAGGAAAUGAUGAAAAGAGAGCAGACUAAAACGAUGCUUCGUCUCACUUUCUUCCUUCCUUCCUCACCAUCCUUUGCAUUGUGGGUUAUAAAGAGCAAUAACUGAGAGCAGAACCUAACCUAAAAAUUAGAUCUGAAGAGAGGUCUGUAAUUCAGUGGAGGGUAUAGGCAUGGGUGUGUGGGAAAAAUCCAAUCUCUCAUCAUUUCUGACUUUUCCUACACCUCCCAUGCCUCUACUUCCCAUUGAUUCCUCCGGCGCCGUCAUUGAUUCCUUUUUCCGGCCAGAUCUGUCUCCCUCUCCUUCUCGAGAUUGAUGAAGAAAAAAACAUCAUCGUUCCUAUAUUAUAUGUAUGAAGAAUGUGGCAGUGUGUACUUAUUGUUUUAAAGGAUAGUUGUUGCCUGAGCCGCUUAAUCAGAUACAGUAUAAUGUUCUUAUUUGGGAUCGAAAUAUAUCUUGUACGGUGUUUGAUCUACUUUAUCUCGAAUUGGCCCUCAUUCGGGUCUUGAUUUUUCUUUAUUUCGAACUGGCUCUUCGUCGGUUUUUUGGAAUCCUAUCUCCGAGUCCCUAUGUUAUUUGGUUACGAGAAAUUCUUAGGUUUGGAUUGUUUGAUUUUGUAGACAUUUACGGUUGUUCACUAAAUGUUGUUUCAUCUUUCAAUUUUGGCAAAAGAUAUGGAUAUGUUUUUAAACUUUGACGGACUAUAUUUUUUAGGAAAAUAAUCUUCCAUUGAUGUAAGGUCUUUUCUUGUAAGAUGUACGUUUUGACCUAAUUGUGCAGUUCUAGUGUUUUCCGCCUAAACUCGUAACUUGUUGCAUCUCGAUCCUUCAGCUUAUAAAAUCAGUAAAACUUUUUUUAAUGGAGAAACAAACUAAUCUAAAGCAGUUAUUGAAGAACUGGAUCAAGCUGUCCGGUUCAAUCGGUUGAAUCAGGAUCAAGCCAGCUUCCUAUCCACCUAACUCUUAGGAAUUGAAAAUUUAAUCCAAUCGACUUGGAUCGACAAAAUUGAAUGGCGAAUCAAUGAGCUUUAAAAAUCAGUUGAACUAACUGGUCUUUUGGUAUCGAACAUUAUUACCUUACUUUUUUUUUUUGUAUCUAGCGAUUUUGCUUUGAAUAUCUUGAUAUUGGACUAUAGAAAUUGGUAGACGAACAUACUAUCCAAGCUGGGCCCAAUUUAUUACUCCCUCCGUCACAAAUUGAUAGAUAGUUUAGAACAAAUAAGGGUGCUAAAAAAUUUAAAUUCUCUAGAUAAAAUGAAUUAUUACAUUAAAAAACAUCAUACUUGUCCUCAUUUAUUAUAAUGGUAAUUUUUAUCUUUUAGUGAUUUUUGUUGUCUUUUCAAGAUAUUUUCUAUAAUUAAUGAGGGUAUGUUUGACAAUUAUUGAGUAAGAUAAAUAUCUAGUUCCUGUAAUUUGGGAUAAAUAAAAUUGAAAUAGUGCAUAUCAAUUUGGGACGGAGGGAGUAUAUUUUUAUAUAUAAUUUAACAAGUUCAAUCUGGUUAAAGUAAGGAUCGGUGAUCCCAUACUAGUUCCGCCGCCAAUUUAAUUUAUAGAACAUUGGUCUGAAGGGUUGAUUCGAACCAAUUUCACAAUUAUAAGGUUCAAGUUGCACCAAAUUAAAUUAAGAAUGUAAAUAAUCUUGCAUAAAAAUUGAAAAGAGUAUUUGUACCUUUUA